GAAGUUGGAAUCGCUAGUAAUCGCAGAUCAGCAUGCUGCGGUGAAUACGUUCCCGGGCCUUGUACACACCGCCCGUCACACCAUGGGAGUUGGUUCUACCCGAAGCCGGUGCGCUAACCGUAAGGAAGCAGCCGACCACGGUAGGGUCAGCGACUGGGGUGAAGUCGUAACAAGGUAGCCGUAGGGGAACCUGCGGCUGGAUCACCUCCUUUCUAAGG
This 218-nucleotide ribosomal RNA is filed under the name Pseudomonas sp. RNAcentral describes it as "partial 16S ribosomal RNA". It matches the Rfam family "Bacterial small subunit ribosomal RNA", at positions 1322 to 1533 of the family's 1533-position model. The record is from RNAcentral. Lineage: Bacteria; Pseudomonadati; Pseudomonadota; Gammaproteobacteria; Pseudomonadales; Pseudomonadaceae.